GGGAAGGUGGCAGAGUGGUUGAAUGUACCUGACUCGAAAUCAGGCGUACGGUAACCCCGUACCGGGGGUUCGAAUCCCCCCCUUCCCGCCA
RNAcentral lists this transfer RNA (91 nucleotides) under Roseateles depolymerans. RNAcentral's name for it is "tRNA-Ser". It matches the Rfam family "tRNA". From Rfam's summary of the family: Transfer RNA (tRNA) molecules are approximately 80 nucleotides in length. Lineage: Bacteria; Pseudomonadati; Pseudomonadota; Betaproteobacteria; Burkholderiales; Sphaerotilaceae. The record is from RNAcentral. RNAcentral also lists the same sequence under 2 other names.